AGUGAACGCUGGCGGUAGGCCUAACACAUGCAAGUCGAACGGCAGCACAGUAAGAGCUUGCUCUUACGGGUGGCGAGUGGCGGACGGGUGAGGAAUACAUCGGAAUCUACUUUUUCGGGGGGGAUAACGUAGGGAAACUUACGCUAAUACCGAAUACGACCUACGGGUGAAAGCAGGGGAUCUUCGGACCUUGCGCGAUUGAAUGAGCCGAUGUCGGAUUAGAUAGUUGGCGGGGUAAAGGACCACCAAGGCGACGAUCCGUAGCUGGUCUGAGAGGAUGAUCAGCCACACUGGAACUGAGACACGGUCCAGACUCCUACGGGAGGCAGCAGUGGGGAAUAUUGGACAAUGGGCGCAAGCCUGAUCCAGCCAUACCGCGUGGGUGAAGAAGGCCUUCGGGUUGUAAAGCCCUUUUGUUGGGAAAGAAAAGCAGCAGGUUAAUACCCCGCUGUUCUGACGGUACCCAAAGAAUAAGCACCGGCUAACUUCGUG
Molecule: ribosomal RNA, 492 nt
Filed under: uncultured bacterium
Lineage: Bacteria
Description: partial 16S ribosomal RNA
Rfam family: Bacterial small subunit ribosomal RNA
Source: RNAcentral